Molecule: non-coding RNA, 95 nt
Organism: Acanthosepion pharaonis
Lineage: Eukaryota; Metazoa; Mollusca; Cephalopoda; Sepiida; Sepiidae
Source: the annotation of a GenBank genome assembly
CGUUAAACCACCGGUUCUCGUCCAAUCACCAAAGUUAAGCAACGUCGAGCCUGGUCAGUACCUAAAUGGGUGACUACUUGAAAAUACUAGGUGCU